UGAGGUGUCGCCAAGUUGGUUAAGGCACGGGACUUUGACUCCCGCAUCCGCAGGUUCGAAUCCCGCCACCUCAGCCA
Molecule: transfer RNA, 77 nt
Filed under: Selenomonadaceae bacterium
Lineage: Bacteria; Bacillati; Bacillota; Negativicutes; Selenomonadales; Selenomonadaceae
Description: tRNA-Gln
Rfam family: tRNA
About the family: Transfer RNA (tRNA) molecules are approximately 80 nucleotides in length. Their secondary structure includes four short double-helical elements and three loops (D, anti-codon, and T loops).
Source: RNAcentral